Molecule: long non-coding RNA, 1506 nt
Filed under: Salmo trutta (river trout)
Lineage: Eukaryota; Metazoa; Chordata; Actinopteri; Salmoniformes; Salmonidae
Description: lncRNA (ENSSTUG00000049619.1)
Source: RNAcentral
UAAGUUCGGUUUUUGUUAGAUUAUAAAAAAAUCAUGUUUUUUUAUUUUGGUUUUGUCCCGUCUUCAGUCAGCUGUUUGUUCCACAAUUGUUUUAAAUAAGAAUUCUUCCAACACCCUCCAUCAGUAUGAAACAAUCUCUGAUAGUAAAUCAAACUUCCCACACUGACCACAGGAGAAAGGAGAUCGUCUACAAAGAAUCCCAAUAUAACAGUUCUGCACCACAGAGCCAUGUCUGAUUCAAUGGCUCGUCUCAAUCACCUGCUCUCUCUCUCCCUUCUCUCACUCUCUCUACUCUCUUUCUCCUGCUCUCUCUCUCACUUCUCUCACUCUCUUUCUCCUGCUCUCUCUCCCUUCUCUCACUCUCUCUACUCUCUUUCUCCUGCUCCCUUUCUCCCUUCUCUCACUUUCGCUACUCUCUUUCUCCUGCUCCCUCUCUCCCUUCUCUCACUCUCUCUACUCUCUUUCUCCUGCUCUCUCUCUCACUUCUCUCACUCUCUCUACUCUCUUUCUCCUGCUCCCUCUCUCCCUUCUCUCACUCUCUCUACUCUCUUUCUCCUGCUCUCUCUCUCACUUCUCUCACUCUCUCUACUCUCUUUCUCCUGCUCCCUCUCUCCCUUCACUCUCUUUCUCCUGCUCCCUCUCUCCCUUCUCUCGCUCUCUCUACUCUCUUUCUCCUGCUCCCUCUCUCCCUUCUCUCGCUCACUCUACUCUCUUUCUCCUGCUCCCUCUCUCCCUUCUCUCACUCUCUCUACUCUCUUUCUCCUGCUCCCUCUCUCCCUUCUCUCGCUCACUCUACUCUCUUUCUCCUGCUCCCUCUCUCCCUUCUCUCACUCUCUCUACUCUCUUUCUCCUGCUCCCUCUCUCCCUUCUCUCGCUCGCUCUACUCUCUAUCUCCGGCUCCCUCUCUCCCGUCUCUCACUUUCGCUACUCUCUUUCUCCUGCUCCCUCUCUCCCUUCUCUCACUCUCUCUACUCUCUUUCUCCUGCUCCCUCUCCCUUCUCUCACUCUCUCUACUCUCUUUCUCCUGCUCCCUCUCUCCCUUCUCUCACUCUCUCUACUCUCUUUCUCCUGCUCCCUCUCUCCCUUCUCUCGCUCACUCUACUCUCUUUCUCCUGCUCCCUCUCUCCCUUCUCUCACUCUCUCUACUCUCUUUCUCCUGCUCCCUCUCUCCCUUCUCUCGCUCGCUCUACUCUCUAUCUCCGGCUCCCUCUCUCCCGUCUCUCACUUUCGCUACUCUCUUUCUCCUGCUCCCUCUCUCCCUUCUCUCACUCUCUCUACUCUCUUUCUCCUGCUCCCUCUCCCUUCUCUCACUCUCUCUACUCUCUUUCUCCUGCUCUCUCUCACUUCUCUCACUCUCUCUACUCUCUUUCUCCUGCUCCCUCUCUCCCUUCUCUCUCUCUCUACUCUCUUUCUCCUGCUCUCUCUCCCUUCUCUCACGCUCUCUACUCUCUUUCUCCUGCUCUCUCUAUUUACCUCCCCCUUCUCUCUCUCUGAAGCAGGCACCAG